This 15687-nucleotide long non-coding RNA is filed under the name Lactuca sativa (garden lettuce). RNAcentral's name for it is "long non-coding RNA (LSAT_LNC000620)". Lineage: Eukaryota; Viridiplantae; Streptophyta; Magnoliopsida; Asterales; Asteraceae. The record is from RNAcentral.
AAGAAGGUACGGAUAGAUGUGGAAGGUAGUAUGGGCCCGUACUACUGAAAGCAGAGGAUCCGUACCCGAACCAAGGAAGGCCAAGAUAAGACCAGGGAACUUGUAAGUAGUUGUGAUCCCUCAGGAAGUAUCAGUAUCACUAAUGAUUGUUGUGAUGUAUUGCAGAAUGGUGGUACUUCGAUCGAGGCCGGUAGAUGGCGGUUCAGGAGAGGGGUCAGGUUCGGGAUCAGGUUCCGAGCCGGUUGAUGAGGGACUACGCGAGUUCAUCGCGUCAGAGAUCACCAGAGGCAUCCUUGAGUCGACCCCCAUUCUCUUUGGGUCGAUCAAGGAAGGGAUCAUGGAGUUGAUGGAGGAUCGCCUUCGGGCAUUCAGGAGUGAUAUGGCAUCUAGCCAGUCAGGAUCUCGCACACUGUCCUUCAAGGACUUCAGGGGCAGUGGUGCGCCGGAUUUCCAUGGGGUGAAAGACCCCAUUGCUGCCAGGCGAUGGAUUGCAGACAUCGAGUCUGCCCAGUUGACUAGCUUCUGCCCCGAGGGGUCGAAGGUGAGGUAUGCAGCAGGAUGUUUACGGGACCGAGCCCGGGAUUGGUGGGAGUCAGUGGGUGACUCGUUGGGAGCCUCAGCUAUCGAGGCGAUGACCUGGUCGGACUUUGUGACCAGGUUCAGGGCAGAGUUUGCGCCGGCUGUCGAGCUUCAGCAGCUGGCCAGGGAGUUUCUAGACAUGAGGCAGACGACGGAGACUGUGGCGGAGAUCACCGCCAAGUUCCGGGAGAGGGCUUUGUUGGUGCCCCAGUAUGCUGGUGACGAGGACAUGAGGAGGACUCGUUAUCAUGAUAUGCUACGAGCUGACAUCCGGGAGCAUGUUAGCUUUUCGGCUUGCCCUACCUUGGACUCUAUGAUUGCCAGGGCGAGGGAGAGGGAGAUAGAUUUGGAGCACAUCCGGAAACGGAAAUUAGAGGAGGGACAGGCAGGAGGGGCUUCGGGGAAGAAGCCCAAGGGAUCAGAUGCGGGGCCGAAAGGCCAACAGGGACGGGGACGCUGCAGGAAAUGCGGCAAGGCGCACGAGGGAGCGUGCAGGAUGGGAUCAUCAGGCUGCUAUAAGUGCGGCAAGUCUGGGCACAUCAGCAGGGAUUGCACUGCUCCGGCAGCAGUUAUUCAGACAUCAGAGUUGCUAUGUUUCCACUGCAACCAGAGGGGCCACAAGAAGGCCAAUUGCCCCCAGUUGACAGUUUCAGCGCCGGUGAAGGCGCCAGCUCCAGCGACCCUGCGGAUCACGGAUGGCCGGCAGGGCAAGGCAGAGGCUCCAGUGGUGAGGAGCCGAGCAUUUCAGCUGACUACCGAGGAGGCACGCGCCGCACCCGAUGUGGUGACGGGUAUGAUUCUUUCCCUCUAUCUUAUUUUUAUGAUGUUAUGUUAUUGAUAUGUGCUCUGUAUGUAUAUGUAUGCAUUAGGAUCGUUCCAUGUGAACGGCCUCCCAGUUCAGGUGUUAUUUGAUUCGGGUGCAUCCCGAUCAUUCGUUUCCCUUGCGCUUAGCAAGAAGUUUCAUGAGUCAUCAGGCGAGUUAGAUUGCCCUUUGGAGGUGGAGAUUGCUGAUGAUCGAUCGGUGCGAGCAUCGAUGGUAUUUCGAGAUUGCGUGCUGCGUUUGUUUGAGGAGCGCUACUUGGUAGAUUUGGUUCCCAUUCCGUUGCGUGGGAACAAGGUGAUUAUAGGCAUGGAUUGGCUGAGCCCUAAUGGGGCGGUGAUAGAUUGCGCGCAGCAGCUAGUGCGGGUCAGGACCCCAAGCGGGGGAGAGUUAGUGAUUCAUGGUGAGAGGCCCCAGUAUGGACCCGCUGUAUGUUCAGCAGCGAGGGCUAGGCGCUACCUUCAGCAGGGAUGCGCAGGAUAUGUCGCGUAUGUGAUGGAUACCCGGGAGGCGGGUAAGGCGACAGUGAGCGAGGUUCCGGUGGUCCGAGACUUUGCAGAUGUUUUCCCAGAGGAGCUUCCUGGGAUACCUCCGGAGCGACAGGUGGAGUUCAGGAUUGACCUUGUUCCUGGUGCGGCUCCGAUAGCCAAGGCACCGUAUCGGUUGGCUCCUCCCGAGAUGCAGGAGUUGUCUACGCAGCUGCAGGAGCUGCUAGACAAGGGGUUUAUUCGUCCGAGCAGUUCGCCCUGGGGAGCCCCGAUUCUGUUUGUGAAGAAGAAGGACGGGUCGCAUCGGAUGUGUAUAGAUUAUCGGGAGCUGAACAAGGUAACGGUGAAGAACCGUUACCCGCUUCCGAGGAUUGAUGACCUCUUUGACCAGCUUCAGGGAGCAUCUUGGUUCUCCAAGAUUGAUUUGCGUUCGGGUUAUCAUCAGAUGAGGGUCAGGGAGGAGGAUAUGCAGAAGACCGCGUUUCGGACGCGCUAUGGCCAUUAUGAGUUCGUGGUGAUGCCGUUUGGGCUCACCAAUGCUCCUGCCGCGUUCAUGGACCUCAUGAACCGCGUAUGCAGACCGAUGCUGGAUCGGUCUGUGAUAGUCUUUAUCGAUGACAUCUUGGUUUAUUCCAAGACUCGGGAGGAACAUGAGGAGCAUCUGAGAGAGGUGUUGGAGACCCUGAGGAGGGAGAGCUUGUAUGCCAAGUUCUCCAAGUGUGAGUUUUGGUUGCGCGAGGUGCAAUUUCUUGGACACCUCGUCAACCAGAACGGGAUUCUGGUCGAUCCGGCCAAGGUCGAGGCCGUGAUGAGAUGGGAGGUUCCGAAGUCUCCAUCUGAGAUUCGGAGUUUCCUGGGAUUGGCAGGCUACUAUCGGAGAUUUAUCCAGGAUUUCUCCAAGAUAGCCGUGCCCCUGACGCGGCUGACGAAGAAAGCCGUGGUCUUUCGGUGGGGGCCCGAGCAGCAGGCUGCAUUUGAGACGCUGAGACAGAGAUUGUGUGAGGCGCCGAUCUUAGCCCUGCCAGAGGGCGUAGAGGAUUUUGUGGUUUAUUGUGAUGCGUCCAUUUCUGGGUUGGGCGCGGUACUGAUGCAGAGGGGGCAUGUCAUUGCCUACGCUUCGAGGCAGCUCAAGCCUCACGAGGCGAACUACCCGACGCAUGAUUUGGAGUUGGGGGCGGUGGUUUUUGCCCUCAAGAUUUGGCGACAUUACCUCUACGGGGUUCGAUGUACCAUCUACACGGACCACAAGAGUUUGAGGUACCUCAUGGAUCAGCCGAAUCUGAACAUGAGGCAGCGUCGGUGGUUGGAUGUGGUGAAGGAUUAUGAUUGCGAGAUCCUUUACCACCCGGGGAAGGCCAAUGUGGUGGCCGAUGCGCUUAGCCGCAAGACGGCGCCGAUCAGGGACGUUUGCAUGAGGAUGACCGUGGUGACUCCCCUGUUGGAGCAGAUUCGGGAGGCUCAACAGGAGGCUAUCAAGGAGGAGCAUCGGAAGAGCGAGCGUGUGGUGGGUCAGGUUUCCUCCUUUGAUUAUGAUAGCCGAGGACUUUUGACACUACACCGUAGGGUGUGGGUGCCGUAUCACGGAGGCGUGCGCCAGAUUUUGAUGGAGGAGGCGCACAAGUCCCGAUUCUCUAUUCAUCCCGGGGCGACGAAGAUGUAUAGGGAUCUUCGUCUAGACUAUUGGUGGCCCUGCAUGAAGCGGGAUGUGGCAUGGUACGUCGAGCGGUGUUUGACCUGCAGGAAGGUCAAGGCCGAACAUCAGAGGCCGCAUGGCAAGAUGCAGCCGUUGGACAUUCCACUGUGGAAGUGGGAAGAUAUCACGAUGGAUUUUAUCACGAAGCUUCCCAGGACCGCACGUGGAGUGGAUUCGAUUUGGGUCAUCGUGGAUAGAUUGACCAAGAGUGCUCACUUUAUUCCGAUUCAGGAGAGCAUAUCGGCCGAGAAAUUGGCCGACAUCUAUAUCAGGGAGAUUGUGGCACGGCAUGGGGUGCCAGUAUCGGUGAUCUCGGACAGGGAUGUGCGUUUUACUUCCAGGUUUUGGAAGAGAUUCCAUGACGAGUUGGGCACUCGUCUGCAUUUCAGCACCGCCUUUCACCCGCAGACAGAUGGACAGAGUGAGCGGACCAUCCAGACUUUGGAGGACAUGUUGCGGGCGUGUGUUCUGGAUUUCGGUGGUAGCUGGGAUACCUAUCUUCCUUUGGCUGAGUUCUCCUACAACAACAGCUAUCACGCGAGUAUCGACCGCCCUCCCUUCGAGAUGUUGUACGGACGGAGGUGUAGGACCCCGAUAUGCUGGGGUGAGGUUGGCCAGAGAGUUAUGGGAAGCACCGAAGUGGUGCUCAAGACGACUGAGAGGAUACAGCAGGUCCGGAGCAGGCUUCAGACUGCUCAGAGUCGACAGAAAAGUUAUGCCGACAAGCGUCGAUCCGAUUUAGAGUUCCAGGUCGGGGAUAUGGUCCUCCUGAAGGUGUCACCGUGGAAAGGCGUCAUCCGAUUCAGGAAGCGGGGCAAGUUGGGCCCGCGAUUCAUCGGACCGUUCAGGGUCUUAGCCCGGGUGGGCAAGGUAGCAUAUAGGCUGGAUCUGCCAGCCGAGCUUAGCCAGAUCCACAGCACUUUCCAUGUUUCGCAGUUGCGGAAGUGCCUAGUGGACGAUUCUGCAGUAGUACCUUUGGAGGAUAUUCAGGUUGAUGACAGCCUGAACUACAUCGAGCGCCCAGUCGCAAUCCUCGACAGGAAGUCGAAGGAUUUAAGGAACAAGAGGGUGGAGCUAGUGAAGGUGCAAUGGCAGCACCGCAAGGGUUCAGAGUGGACUUGGGAGCCGGUAGACGAGAUGAUGGAGCACUACCCCGAGCUGUUUCAGGAUCAGGCAGCAGACUUCGAGGACGAAGUCUAAAAUAAGUGGGGGAGAUUUGUAGCACCUGGUUUCCGGUAUGUGAAUUUUAUUUGAGCAUUGCCCUAAUUUAGCCUUAGACUCGGCGAGUCAUAGGGUCCGACUCGCCGAGUAGGGACGAGACUCAGGACGCGUUUUAAGUAGGCGACUCGACGAGUCCAUAUCCUGGACUCGGCGAGUCACCGCUGCGGGAUGAAACCCUAAGUUUCAAGGGUUUGCACCCUAUUUAAACUCUCAUUCCGCCCCAACUCGUCCCCAUUCACCCCCAGAACUCCCCCUACAUCGUUUUCCCUUGUUUUCUUGAGAGUUUGAGGUGUUCUUGGUGUGUUCUUGAAGGUUUUGAAGAGUAAGAGGAGUAGAUCAAGAAGAGGAGAAGGAGAUCAGCCAUCCUUGUGUCAUUUCAACAUUUCCUUUGAGGUAUAACCCGUUUUCCCCUUGAUUCUAUGCUUAAAACUUCAUUUGGGUCCUUCUUGGUCAAUUCCCCAAGUUUGCAUGUUCAUUAUAUGUUGUAAUAAGGCGUUUGGCCUUUGGAUCUAUGUAAGAUUGAGCUCCAGGAGCUCAGAUCUGUUAGCUUUUUGGCCUCAUGAGGCUUGUUAGCCCUAGAUCUACCAUUUUGAGACAUUUUGAGCCUUAUAAUCCAUAUUGGUGAAUAUCCACACGUAAAGUUGGAAACUUUACGUGUGAUUCGUGUCCUAGAAGUCCAGAUCUAUGAAUGGCAUGGUCUGGAACCGAGCAAAUCGGUAUAUUUAAGGAGUGCAUGGCGACGACUCGGCGAGUCGCAUAGGUGACUCGGCGAGUCUGGUCGCGAGUCACCGAAUUGGUCCCUUCUUCAUGUGUCGAGUUGAGCCUUGAGUCACAGGGGGUGACUCGGUGAGUUGGGAGCUGAACUCACCCAUGUUAGGACUCGGCGAGUCAAUGCCCUGACUCGGCGAGUCCAAGGCAAUCUUCAUAGCUCAAGAACAGACUCGGCGAGUUGUUCAUACAACUCGGCGAGUCUUAGCAUAAAGUGUUCAUCGGAUGAAGAUGAACUCGACGAGUUGUUCAUACAACUCGGCGAGUAGGAUGAAGGUGUUGAAUGGCAGUUAGAAGGUGAACUCGUCGAGUCAUAGCCCGACUCGACGAGUAGAACCAGGGACCCAGGACAUUGGUUUGCUAGGGACUCGGCGAGUGGUGAUCCACUCGGCGAGUCGGGUCAACUGAAAGUUGACUCCAGCUUUGGCUUAGAGUUAAUCCAGGGGUAAAAUGGUCAUUUUACCUAAAGGACAGUUAGCAGUGUUUGAUUGAGUAUGUCGUGGAAAUUGCAGCCGGAGGACUCCCGGAGCAGCAGCAGUCAGUUAGUUCCCGAUCAGUUCAGCAGCUACUUUGAGGUGAGUUACCUUCCAGUAGCGGUGGGUCUAAGGCCACAAUGCCGACCCACCAGUAGGAGUUGUAUGAUAGAUGAUUGUCUUUGUGAUAUCAUCUAAGUUCGCUAGUACCUGACAUGUUAUAUGCUAGCAUGAUAUGCUGUAUGUGAUAGUAGUAGAGUUUGGUUGUUCGGACCGAAGGGUAGUCAGACACCCCAGAUACGUCUGACAGUAUGUGACGAUAUGUAUGCAUGCUGGCUUGUUAUGUUAUAUGUGAUCGUAGUAGUAGGGGUGAAAUAGUCCCCGAGGAUCGGUUGUUAGGACCGAUGGGUAGUCAGCACCCCAGAAUGGCUUGACACGGGUAAGACGGCACCCCAGAAUGGCCGUAUGGGUAGGUCGGCACCCCAGAAUGGCCGUACCGGGUAGUCAGGCACCCCAGAAUAGCCUGGCAGUAUAUAUGUUAUGUGUUUGUAUGGUAUGCGGUACGUUGGGGGAACUCACUAAGCUUUGUGCUUACGUUUACAGUUUUGUUUUCAGGUACCUCUGCAUCGAAGGGGAAGGAGCCGGCGCGGUAGCGGCACGUCAUACACACACUCUUCGGUUUCCGCAUUUAUGAGAUUUACUGGGAUUGUACUCUGAUAUUUGAUGGGAUGUACGGUUUGGCUUUUGAGAACAUGGUUGCAAUGUGUUAUGGUGUGAACAAACAAUGUUUCUUUUUAUUUAGACAAUGUUUUUAUUUAUUAAUGUUUUCUAAAGUAAUAUCAAAAAAAAAAAAAAUUUUGGGUCGUUACAAGUUGGUAUCAGAGCCCUGGUUUGAGGGAUUCGGACACGCCUUCGGGAGUGUUUGGACUCAAACCGAGGGAUUGAAAGAUUUUUCCAAAAGAAAUUAUUCUUUAAAACCCGGAAAAGAGUCACGAGAAAGAGUAAAGUGUGUGACGUGCGCGACCGGCCGAGCUCAAGUAAGUAUUCCCCAUAGUACCCAUACAAGUUUAUGUUAUGUUUAUCAGCUUUAUGAAUAUUGCAUGCUAGAAUAGGCUAAGGAUCUAGGAGUGAUGCCUUAUGUGCCUGUUUAUUUGUUACAGCUUAUUGAAUAUUGCAUGCUAGAAUUGAGUAGACAGCAGUAGGGUAGCCUGUUUAGGUUAUGCCUGAUAGUAUGAGCUUAGCAUCCUAUGUUAAGUGUCGUUUCUUGUUCUAAGAACAGUUUUGGCUUGAGUCUGUUUUUCCUUAUCCGAAUGCUGCUUGCUUCGUGCUCGGUGGGAUUCUGAGUAAUGGGAGUGAGCCACUAGGUAAACACGUCACACCACAUGUAAUCGGGGUUGAAUAAUCCCAAAGUGUUGGAACUGGCCCUAUUGCGCAGCUCUUGUUUGAGUCCAACCGUUGUAGGGACGGGCCUUUUACUUGAAGGAUGAUCUAAUCCUCAUCACAGGUGGUGGUGUUUAGGUGGUGGCUAACUGGCAUUAUGAGGAGACCUACAGCAGCUGAGGACCAGUUGUGUUGAACUUGAGUUCUCCCUAGGGCAAGCCUAGGGUGAGAAUAUCGGAGAGUAGCAGUAGUAGAGGGGAGUUGGUGGAGUCGAGGAAUUCCUCGGAGAAGGUACGGAUAGAUGUGGAAGGUAGUAUGGGCCCGUACUACUGAAAGCAGAGGAUCCGUACCCGAGCCGAGGAAGGCCAAGACGAGACCAAGGAACCUGUAAGUAGUUGAGAUCCCUCAGAAAGUAGCAGUACCACUAAUGAUUAUUAUUGAUGUUUUGCAGAAUGGUGGUACUUCGACCGAGACCGACAGAUGGCGGGUCAGGAGAGGGGUCAGGUUCGGGAUCUGGCACCGAGCCGAUUGAGGAGAGGCUACGUGAGUUCAUCACGUCGGAGAUCACUAGGGGCAUCCUUGAGUCGACCCCCAUCAUCUUUGGGUCGAUCAAGGAAGGGAUCGUGGAGAUGAUGGAGGAUCGCCUACGGGCAUUCAGGAGCGACUUGGCCUCUAGCCAGUCAGGAUCUCGCACACUGUCCUUCAAGGACUUCAGGAGCAGUGGUGCGCCGGAUUUCCAUGGGGUGAAGGACCCCAUUGUCGCCAGGCGGUGGAUUGCGGAUAUCGAGUCCGCCCAGUUGAUCAGCUUCUGCCCCGAGGGGUCGAAGGUGAGGUACGCAGCAGGGUGUUUACGGGACCGGGCCCGAGAUUGGUGGGAGUCAGUGGGUGACUCGAUGGGAGCCUCGGCUAUCGAGGCAAUGACCUGGUCGGACUUUGUGGCUAGGUUCAGGGCAGAGUUUGCGCCAGCGGUCGAGCUUCAGCAGCUGGCCAGGGAGUUCUUAGACAUGAGGCAGACGACAGAGACCGUGGCGGAGAUCACCGCCAAGUUUCGGGAGAGGGCUUUAUUGGUGCCCCAGUAUGCAGGUGACGAGGAUAUGAGGAGGACUCGUUACCAUGAUAUGCUACGAGCUGACAUUCGGGAGCAUGUUAGUUUUUCGGCUUGCCCUACCCUGGACUCCAUGAUUGCCAGGGCUAGGGAGAGAGAGAUAGAUUUGGAGCACAUCCGGAAACGGAAACUUGAGGAUGGUCAGUCAUCGGGGGCUUCGGGGAAGAAGCCCAAGGGAUCAGAUGGGAGGCCGAAAGGCCAGUCGGGACCGAGCCGCUGCAGGAGGUGCGGCAGGCCGCACGAGGGGGCGUGCAGGAUGGGAUCGUCAGGCUGCUACAAGUGCGGCAAGUUUGGGCAUAUCAGCAGGGAUUGCACUGCUCCUGCGACCGUUAUUCAGACAUCGGAGUUGCUGUGUUUCCACUGCAACCAGAGGGGCCACAAGAAGGCCAAUUGCCCCAUGUUGACAGCUUCAGCGCCAGUGAAGGCGCCAGCUCCAGCGACCCUGCGGAUCACGGAUGGCCGUCAGGGCAAGGCAGAGGCUCCAGUGGUGAGGAGUCGGGCAUUUCAGUUGACUGCCGAGGAGGCACGCGCCGCGCCCGAUGUGGUGACGGGUAUGAUUCCUUCCUUCUAUCUUUUAUUUUACGUUGUUAUGAUAUUGAUAUGUGCUCCGUGUGUAUACAUGUGUAUUAGGAUCGUUCCAUGUGAACGGCAUCCCGGUUCAGGUAUUGUUCGACUCGGGUGCAUCCCGAUCGUUCGUUUCUCUUGCUCUUAGCAAGAGAUUUCAUGAGACUUCAGGCGAGUUAGAUUGCCCGUUAGAGGUAGAGAUUGCCGAUGAUCGAUCGGUGCGAGCAUCGAUGGUGUUUCGAGAUUGUGUCCUGCGACUGUUUGAGGAGUGUUACCUGGUAGACUUGGUUCCCAUUCCAUUGCGUGGGAACAAGGUGAUUAUUGGUAUGGAUUGGUUGAGCCCUAAUGGGGCAGUGAUAGAUUGCGCACAGCAGCUAGUGCGAGUCAAGACCCCAAGCGGGGGAGAGUUAGUGAUUCAUGGAGAGCGGCCGCAGUGUGGACCCACUGUAUGUUCAGCAGCGAGGGCUAGGCGCUACCUUCAGCAGGGAUGCGCGGGUUAUGUCGCGUACGUGAUGGACACCCGGGAGGCGGGUAAGGCGACCGUGAGCGAGGUCCCGGUGGUUCGAGAUUUUGCUGAUGUUUUUCCGGAGGAACUACCUGGGAUACCUCCGGAGCGACAGGUGGAGUUCAGGAUUGACCUCGUUCCCGGUGCGGCUCCGAUAGCCAAAGCACCGUAUCGGUUGGCUCCUCCCGAGAUGCAGGAGUUGUCUACGCAGCUGCAGGAGCUGCUGGACAAGGGAUUUAUUCGGCCGAGCAGUUCGCCCUGGGGAGCCCCGAUUCUGUUUGUGAAGAAGAAGGAUGGGUCGCAUCGGAUGUGUAUAGAUUAUCGGGAGCUGAACAAGGUAACGGUGAAGAACCGUUACCCGCUUCCGAGGAUUGAUGACCUCUUUGACCAGCUUCAGGGCGCAUCUUGGUUCUCCAAGAUUGAUUUGCGUUCGGGUUAUCAUCAGAUGAGGGUCAGGGAGGAGGAUAUGCAGAAGACCGCGUUUCGGACGCGCUAUGGCCAUUACGAGUUUGUGGUGAUGCCGUUUGGGCUCACCAAUGCUCCUGCCGCGUUCAUGGACCUCAUGAACCGUGUAUGCAGACCGAUGCUGGACCGGUCUGUGAUAGUCUUUAUCGAUGAUAUCUUGGUUUAUUCCAAGACCCGGGAGGAACAUGAGGAGCAUUUGAGAGAGGUGUUAGAGACCCUGAGGAGGGAGAGCUUGUAUGCCAAGUUCUCCAAGUGUGAGUUUUGGUUGCGCGAGGUGCAAUUUCUGGGGCACCUCGUCAACCAGAACGGGAUUCUGGUCGAUCCGGCCAAGGUCGAGGCCGUGAUGAGAUGGGAGGUUCCGAAGUCCCCAUCUGAGAUUCGGAGCUUCCUAGGAUUGGCAGGCUACUAUCGGAGAUUUAUCCAGGAUUUCUCCAAGAUAGCCGUGCCCCUGACGCGGCUGACGAAGAAAGCCGUGGUCUUUCGGUGGGGACCCGAGCAGCAGGCUGCAUUUGAGACGCUGAGACAGAGAUUGUGUGAGGCGCCGAUCUUAGCCCUGCCAGAGGGCGUAGAGGAUUUCGUGGUUUAUUGCGAUGCGUCCAUUUCUGGGUUGGGCGCGGUGCUGAUGCAAAGGGGGCAUGUCAUUGCUUACGCUUCGAGGCAGCUCAAGCCUCACGAGGCGAACUACCCGACGCACGAUUUGGAGUUGGGGGCGGUGGUAUUUGCCCUCAAGAUUUGGCGACAUUACCUCUAUGGGGUUCGGUGUACCAUCUACACGGACCACAAGAGCUUGAGGUACCUCAUGGACCAGCCGAAUCUGAACAUGAGGCAGCGUCGGUGGUUGGAUGUGGUGAAGGAUUAUGAUUGCGAGAUCCUUUACCACCCGGGAAAGGCCAAUGUGGUGGCCGAUGCGCUUAGCCGCAAGACGGCGCCGAUCAGGGACGCCUGUUUGAGGAUGACUGUGGUGACUCCCCUGUUGGAGCAGAUUCGGGAAGCUCAACAGGAGGCUAUCAAGGAGGAGCAUCGGAAGAACGAGCGCGUAGUAGGUCAGGUUUCCUCCUUCGAUUAUGAUAGCCGAGGGUUAUUGACACUACACCAUAGGGUGUGGGUGCCGUAUCACGGGGGCGUGCGCCAGAUUUUGAUGGAGGAGGCGCACAAGUCCCGAUUCUCUAUUCAUCCCGGGGCGACGAAGAUGUAUAGGGAUCUUCGUCUAGACUAUUGGUGGCCCUGCAUGAAGCGGGAUGUGGCAUGGUACGUCGAGCGGUGCUUGACCUGCAGGAAGGUCAAGGCCGAACAUCAGAGGCCGCAUGGCAAGAUGCAGCCGUUGGACAUUCCACUGUGGAAGUGGGAAGAUAUCACGAUGGAUUUUAUCACGAAGCUUCCCAGGACCGCGCGUGGAGUGGAUUCGAUUUGGGUCAUCGUGGAUAGAUUGACCAAGAGUGCUCAUUUUAUUCCGAUUCAGGAGAGCAUAUCGGCCGAGAAAUUGGCCGACAUCUAUAUCAGGGAGAUCGUGGCACGGCACGGGGUGCCGGUAUCGGUGAUCUCGGACAGGGAUGUGCGUUUUACUUCCAGAUUUUGGAAGAGAUUCCAUGACGAGUUGGGCACUCGUCUGCAUUUUAGCACUGCCUUUCACCCGCAGACGGAUGGCCAGAGCGAGCGGACCAUCCAGACUCUGGAGGAUAUGUUGCGGGCGUGCGUGCUAGACUUCGGUGGUAGCUGGGAUACCUAUCUUCCCCUGGCCGAGUUCUCAUACAACAACAGCUACCACGCGAGUAUUGAUCGUCCUCCAUUUGAGUUGUUGUACAGACGAAGGUGCAAGACCCCGAUAUGCUGGGGUGAAGUUGGCCAGAGAGUCAUAGGGAGCACCAAGUGGUGCUCAAGACGGCCGAGAGGAUUCAGCAGGUCCGGAGCAGGCUUCAGACUGCUCAGAGUCGGCAGAAAAGUUACGCCGACAAGCGUUGAUCCGACUUGGAGUUUCAAGUCGGGGAUAUGGUUCUCCUGAAGGUGUCGCCUUGGAAAGGCGUCAUCCGAUUCAGGAAGCGGGGCAAGUUGGGCCCGAGGUUCAUCGGACCGUUCAGGGUUGUAGCCCGGGUGGGCAAGGUGGCGUAUAGGUUGGAUCUGCCAGCCGAGCUCAGCCAGAUCCACAGCACUUUCCAUGUCUCUCAGCUGCGAAAGUGCUUAGUGGACAAUUCAGCGGUAGUGCCGUUGGAGGAUAUUCAGGUUGAUGACAGCCUGAAUUACAUUGAGCGCCCAGUCGCAAUCCUCGACAGGAAGUCGAAGGAUUUGAGGAACAAGAGGGUGGAGCUAGUGAAGGUGCAAUGGAAGCACCGCAAGGGUUCGGAAUGGACUUGGGAGCCGGUGGACGAGAUGAGGGAGCAUUACCCCGAGCUGUUUCAGGAUCGAGCAGCAGACUUCGAGGACGAAGUCUAAAAUAACUGGGGGAGAUUUGUAGCACAUGAUUCCUGGUAUGUAUUCUUGGUUAUUAAAUCCCCUUAUUUUGCAUAAUUAGCCUUAGACUCAGCGAGUUGAAGGACGGACUCGCCGAGUAGAAGCGGGACUAGACGCGGGAUCUACUCGGUCUACUCGGCGAGUAGGUCCGAUGGACUCGACGAGUAGACCUUGUUUGGACUUAAAUCCUAACCCGGGUGUUUGCACCCUAUUUAAUCUAUCUAACCCAGCCUCCACUUCCCUUAGCACUCCCAGAGACCUAUAGAACGAAACCCUAGCCUCCUUUGUGUCCUUGUGGGUGAUUGUUAGCACUUUGAAGGUGGUUUGGGGCUUGGGAGAAGAAGGAGAAGAUUGAAGAGUGCAAGAAGGGAAGAAGAUCCGGAAUCUACUAUGUGAAGGGCUUCUAUUAAGGUAGAAAAGACCUAACUUGAUCUUUAGCUCGUUAGUCCCUUUUUGUCCCUAAGAAAAGAAGUUUUAAGCCCUAAGAACUUAAAUCUAUAUGUGUUUAUGGCUAAUGUUCUGCAAGGACUUCGGAUUUGGACCUUUUGGACUUCAUAGUAGCAUAAAGUCUCUGUGGUUGAGGUAGUGGAAGUCCCCAGUGAUUAUAGGACCUCUUGUAUAACUUCGAAGUGCAUGUUUGAGCUCAUAGGGCCAUGCAUACACGUAAAAUUUACAACUUUACGUGGUAAAUGAGCCCUAGGACCAUGGAUCUGUGGUCUGGAAGUGUUGCAUGUCCCAGAUCUGGCCUACUCAGGAAAUGGGUCGAAGGACUCGGCGAGGCCCAAAGUGGAACUCGGCGAGUUCUAUGAAGAUGGUCGUCGACUCGGCGAGUUGGAUGAACAAACUCGGCGAGUCCUAUGAAGAUUGCCUGGAACUCGCCGAGUAGUUCUUCAAACUCGGCGAGUAAUAUGAACAUCCACAGAACACGAGGGGUUUAAGCAUCGAAGGCUGAACCCUUCGUACCUGUGCACAGAAUUAACUGUAUAACGUAGUCCCGAAACCCCCAAACUCUCGAACGGGGCGUUUUGGUGUGGAUUGGAAGCAAGCAGGGGAUCUGCUCGAGGAACUCGGCGAGUUGCUCGCAGGACUCGGUGAGUUGGGACUCGAGUAGGCCCCAAGGUCCCGGGUAGCGAGUCAUGGGUGACUCAGUGAGUGAAAAGAGGGACCUGGUGAGUGGGACCGGAUCAAUGAGGGAUGGACUCGGCGAGUUGCUCGCAGGACUCGGCGAGUCCAGUCAAUUGGGAGUUGACUUUGACCUGGUUUUGACUUGGUAAGGGGUAAAAGGGUCAUUUUACCCUAAGAACAUCUAGCGGUGUUUGACUGAUCGUUUUGUGGAAAUUAUAGUCGGGGGACGUUAGCAGCAGCAGCAGUAGAUAGUCAAUUCCCACACAGACCAGCAGCCUAUUCGAGGUGAGUUACCCUCGAGUAGCGGUGGGUCUACGGCCACAAUGCCGGCCCACCAAUAGGAGUUGUAUGUAGAUGAUUGUCUCUGUGAUGUUCAUCUAGGGAUUACUACUACCUGUGUUGCGUUUAUAUGCUAGUAUGAUAUGAUGCUAUGUGACAGUAGGGGGAGAUAGUCCCCGAGAUAUCCGGUCGGUAGGGCCGAAGGGGUAGUCAUACCCAGCCAUGUUAGAUAGAUACUGAUAUUGUGAUACAUGUUAUGUGGUAGUAGUAGAGGGGAGAAGUAGUUCUCCAGUAUCCGGUCGAGAGGACCGAAUGGGAGGCCAGCACCUAGAUAUGCUAGGCAAAAUCCGGUCAAGAGGACCGAAAGGGAGGCCAACACCCGGAUAUGCUAGGCAAUGUCCGGUCGAGAGGGCCGAAGGGGUAGGUCGGGCACCCAGAUAUGCCUGACAAUAUGUGUAUGUUAUGUGAUUAUAUGGUAUGUGGUACAGUGGGGGAACUCACUAAGCUUUGUGCUUACAGUUUGCAGUUUUGGUUUUAGGUACCUCUUCGUCGAAGGGGAAAGAGCCGGCGCGGUAGCGGCACAUCAUGCACACACACCGUUUCCGCACUUACGAGAUUCUCUGGGAUUUAUACUCUGAUAUUUUGAUGGUUGUAUGAUUUGACUUUUAGACAUGGUUUACAUUUUGAUAUGGUUGAUUAAACAAUGUUUUUAAUCAUCAAUAUUUUCUAAAGUAAUGUUUUUAAAACGAAAUUUUUGGACGUGAAAUUUGGGUCGUUACAAGUUGGUAUCAGAGCCCUGGUUUGAGGGAUUCGGACUCACCUUCGGGGGUGUCUGAACUCAAAUCGAGUGAUUAAAAGAAUUUCUAAAAGAAAAUGUUUUCUAAAAUUGUGAAAAGAGUUUAAGAAAGAACGAAGUGUGUGAUGUGCGCGACCGGCCGAGCUCAAGUAAGUAUUCCCCAAAGUACCCAUACAAGUUUAUGUUAUGUUUAUCAGCUUUUGUAGAACGGCAUGCUAGAAUAGGACUAAGGAUCUAGGAGUGAUGCCUUAUGUGCCUGCUUUAUGUGUUACAGCUAUAUGAGAAUUGCAUGCUAGUAUCGAGUAGACAACAGUAGGGUAGCCUGUUAGGGUUGUGCCCGAUAGUGUGGGUUAGCACUGUGUGCUAGAUCAGUUUCCCCCAUGAGAGCGGAGUUGCUUGAGGUUGUUUCCCUUGUCUGAAUGUUUCUUGCUUCGUGCUAUGUGGGACUCAGAAUAAUGGGAAUUAGCCAUUAGACGAAUACAUCAUGUCACAUGUGAUCAGAGUUGAAUAAUCUUAGAGUGUCGGAUUUGAUCCUACUGCGCAGCUCUUAUUUGAGUCCAACCGUUGUAGGGACGAGUCGGGUACUCGAAGGAUUAUCUGAGUCCCGUCGCAUGUGAUGGUAUUCGGGUGAUGGCUAAUUGGCAUUACAAGGAGGUCUGCAGCAGCUGAGGACUGGAUCGAGUAGAGUCGGAGAUUUCCUAGGGCGAGCCUGGGAUGAGUAUAGAAGUGAUCAACAAUAGGGAAAGGGAUCUAGUGGAGUCGAGGCGGUCCUUGAAGAAGGUACAGAUAGAUGUGGAAGGUAGUAUGGGCCCGUACUACUGAAAGCAGAGGAUCCGUACCCGAACCAAGGAAGGCCAAGACAAGACCGGGGAACUUGUAAGUAGUUGUGAUCCCUCAGGAAGUAUCAGUAUCUCUAAUUAUUGUUGUGAUGUAUUGCAGAAUGGUGGUACUUCGAUCGAGGCCGGUAGAUGGCGGUUCAGG